This 49-nucleotide small RNA is filed under the name Salix viminalis (osier). Lineage: Eukaryota; Viridiplantae; Streptophyta; Magnoliopsida; Malpighiales; Salicaceae. The record is from RNAcentral.
UGAUAAUGGCAUUCUCAAGACUUGGAUCUAUGCUUUUGUAGUUGAAAUC